GACGAACGCUGGCGGCGUGCCUAACACAUGCAAGUGGAGCGACGAACCAGGCUUCGGCCUGGGGCAAAGCCGCGAACGGGUGAGUAACACGUGGGUAACCUGCCCUGAUGAUUGGGACAACCCGAGGAAACUCGGGCUAAUACCGAAUGUGCCCUCCGGCCUCAAGGCCGCUGGGGAAAGGAAGCUUCGGCCUCCGCAUCGGGAUGGGCCCGCGGCCCAUUAGCUUGUUGGUGAGGUAACGGCNCACCAAGGCGACGAUGGGUAGCUGGUCUGAGAGGACGAUCAGCCACACUGGGACUGAGACACGGCCCAGACUCCUACGGGAGGCAGCAGUGGGGAAUCUUGCGCAAUGCGCGAAAGCGUGACGCAGCAACGCCGCGUGGGGGAAGAAGG
This 393-nucleotide ribosomal RNA is filed under the name uncultured bacterium. RNAcentral's name for it is "bacterial SSU rRNA". It matches the Rfam family "Bacterial small subunit ribosomal RNA", at positions 28 to 414 of the family's 1533-position model. The record is from RNAcentral.